RNAcentral lists this unclassified non-coding RNA (247 nucleotides) under uncultured fungus. RNAcentral describes it as "partial contains 5.8S ribosomal RNA, internal transcribed spacer 2, and large subunit ribosomal RNA". The record is from RNAcentral. Lineage: Eukaryota; Fungi.
AACGCACAUUGCGCCCGCUAGUAUUCUGGCGGGCAUGCCUGUUCGAGCGUCAUUUCAACCCUCAGACUCUGUCUGGUGUUGGAGAUCGGCUUUUUGAGUCGUCUCCCAAAUAGAGUGGCGGUCUCGCUGUAGCUUCCUCUGCGUAGUACUAUACCUCGCUCUGGAAAUAUGGUGUGAUCAUGCCGUUAAACCCCCUAUUUUUUUUUUGGUUGACCUCGGAUCAGGUAGGAAUACCCGCUGAACUUAA